Molecule: ribosomal RNA, 495 nt
Filed under: uncultured bacterium
Lineage: Bacteria
Description: bacterial SSU rRNA
Rfam family: Bacterial small subunit ribosomal RNA
Source: RNAcentral
AUUGAACGCUGGCGGCAUGCUUUACACAUGCAAGUCGAACGGCAGCGGGGGCUUCGGCCCGCCGGCGAGUGGCGAACGGGUGAGUAAUGCAUCGGAACGUGCCCAGUCGUGGGGGAUAACACAUCGAAAGAUGUGCUAAUACCGCAUACGUCCUGAGGGAGAAAGCGGGGGAUCUUCGGACCUCGCGCGAUUGGAGCGGCCGAUGUCGGAUUAGCUAGUUGGUGGGGUAAAAGCCCACCAAGGCGACGAUCCGUAGCGGGUCUGAGAGGAUGAUCCGCCACACUGGGACUGAGACACGGACCAGACUCCUACGGGAGGCAGCAGUGAGGAAUAUUGGUCAAUGGACGCAAGUCUGAACCAGCCACGUCGCGUGAAGGAAGACGGCCCUACGGGUUGUAAACUUCUUUUAUACGGGAAUAAAGUGCCCCACGCGUGGGGUUUUGCAUGUACCGUAUGAAUAAGGAUCGGCUAACUCCGUGCCAGCAGCCGCGGUAA